This 631-nucleotide ribosomal RNA is filed under the name uncultured archaeon. Its description in RNAcentral is "bacterial SSU rRNA". It matches the Rfam family "Archaeal small subunit ribosomal RNA", at positions 226 to 859 of the family's 1478-position model. The record is from RNAcentral.
CAGGUAGUAGUGGGUGUAAGGUACCCCCUAGCCUACGACGGGUAUGGGCCUUGAGAGAGGGAGCCCAGAGUUGGAUUCUGAGACACGAAUCCAGGCCCUACGGGGCGCAGCAGUCGCGAAAACUUCACACUGGGGGGAACCCCGAUGAGGGAAAUCCUAGUGCUAGGACAUUUGUUCUAGCUUUUCUCAAGCGUAGAUAACUUGAGGAAUAAGGGCUGGGUAAGACGGGUGCCAGCCGCCGCGGUAAUACCUGCAGCCCAAGUGGUGGUCGAUUUUAUUGAGUCUAAAACGUUCGUAGCCGGUUUGGUAAAUCUUUGGUAAAUCGGGAAGCUUAACUUUCCGACUUCCGAAGAGACUGUCAAACUUGGGACCGGGAGAGGCUAGAGGUACUUCUGGGGUAGGGGUAAAAUCCUGUAAUCCUAGAAGGACCACCGGUGGCGAAGGCGUCUAGCUAGAACGGAUCCGACGGUGAGGGACGAAGCCCUGGGUCGCAAACGGGAUUAGAUACCCCGGUAGUCCAGGGUGUAAACGCUGCAGACUUGGUGUUGGAGGCCCUUCGGGGGCAUUCAGUGCCGGAGAGAAGUUGUUAAGUCUGCUACUUGGGGAGUACGUCCGCAAGGAUGAAACUUAA